RNAcentral lists this ribosomal RNA (429 nucleotides) under Gemmatimonadota bacterium. Its description in RNAcentral is "Gemmatimonadetes bacterium partial 16S ribosomal RNA". It matches the Rfam family "Bacterial small subunit ribosomal RNA", at positions 355 to 776 of the family's 1533-position model. The record is from RNAcentral. Lineage: Bacteria; Pseudomonadati; Gemmatimonadota.
UAGGGAAUCUUCGGCAAUGGACGAAAGUCUGACCGAGCAACGCCGCGUGAGUGAAGAAGGUUUUCGGAUCGUAAAACUCUGUUGUUAGAGAAGAACAAGGACGUUAGUAACUGAACGUCCCCUGACGGUAUCUAACCAGAAAGCCACGGCUAACUACGUGCCAGCAGCCGCGGUAAUACGUAGGUGGCAAGCGUUGUCCGGAUUUAUUGGGCGUAAAGCGAGCGCAGGCGGUUUCUUAAGUCUGAUGUGAAAGCCCCCGGCUCAACCGGGGAGGGUCAUUGGAAACUAGGAGACUUGAGUGCAGAAGAGGAGAGUGGAAUUCCAUGUGUAGCGAUGAAAUGCGUAGAUAUAUGGAGGAACACCAGUGGCGAAGGCGGCUCUCUGGUCUGUGACUGACGCUGAGGCUCGAAAGCGUGGGGAGCAAACAGG